GACGAACGCUGGCGGCGUGCCUAAUACAUGCAAGUAGAACGCUGAAGGAGGAGCUUGCUUCUCCGGAUGAGUUGCGAACGGGUGAGUAACGCGUAGGUAACCUGCCUGGUAGCGGGGGAUAACUAUUGGAAACGAUAGCUAAUACCGCAUAAGAGUAGAUGUUGCAUGACAUUUGCUUAAAAGGUGCAAUUGCAUCACUACCAGAUGGACCUGCGUUGUAUUAGCUAGUUGGUGGGGUAACGGCUCACCAAGGCGACGAUACAUAGCCGACCUGAGAGGGUGAUCGGCCACACUGGGACUGAGACACGGCCCAGACUCCUACGGGAGGCAGCAGUAGGGAAUCUUCGGCAAUGGACGGAAGUCUGACCGAGCAACGCCGCGUGAGUGAAGAAGGUUUCCGGAUCGUAAAGCUCUGUUGUAAGAGAAGAACGAGUGUGAGAGGGAAAGUUCA
This 451-nucleotide ribosomal RNA is filed under the name Streptococcus mitis. Its description in RNAcentral is "bacterial SSU rRNA". It matches the Rfam family "Bacterial small subunit ribosomal RNA", at positions 28 to 466 of the family's 1533-position model. Lineage: Bacteria; Bacillati; Bacillota; Bacilli; Lactobacillales; Streptococcaceae. The record is from RNAcentral.